UUUUUCAGAAGAGAGUUCUGUAUCCAGCGCCGUCUCUGAAGAAGAGGAUAUGUUUUUGGCAGGUCUCGAUCCAGUUUUAGAUCGUGACGAUGAUGAUGAUGAUGAGAGUACCAGACAGAGGCCUCUCUGGACAACAGACAAACAAAGUGUCCAUGUGUUGCUGCAACAUCUACAGCUGUCUCUGGGAGUUCAAGAGGAAAGAGACAGCCCAGCACUUUGUGUGAUGGCACUUCAGCACCAAUAUUCUGCAACAGGAUUUGGCAAAGGCUAAAAACCAGAAGCCAAUGUCUCAAAAGGCAUUCUGGGAGACUGAUUUUGGAGCUGGCUGGACAUCCCAAAAAAAGCAAGGUGCCUGACCCUCCUCCUCGUCGAUCUUGUGAGUGUCACAGUCCUGUGCACAUCAACUUUUUCUGCUCACUUUUUGAGAAAUGUUUAUUACUGUCUUGAUUGCUAAUAACAAAGAGAAACUUUUGUUUGUAGAUGUAUACAAAUAUAUAAAUAAAAACUUUUUAUUUGCUAAA
This is a non-coding RNA of Pimephales promelas (fathead minnow), 521 nucleotides long. The record is from RefSeq and is a predicted model, not a curated record. Lineage: Eukaryota; Metazoa; Chordata; Actinopteri; Cypriniformes; Leuciscidae.